AUAUAGAAAGCGAAAUGUUUGCGUACGGUUUCGGCCCGUAAGUUAGGAGUGUAAAUCUCCUUCUAUAUU
Molecule: transfer RNA, 69 nt
Filed under: Aporrhais serresiana
Lineage: Eukaryota; Metazoa; Mollusca; Gastropoda; Littorinimorpha; Aporrhaidae
Description: tRNA-Arg
Source: RNAcentral